ACGGGUGAGUAACGCGUGGGGAUCUGCCCCAAAGAGGGGGAUAACCCGAGGAAACUCGGGCUAAUACCGCAUAAACUGGAGACAGCAAAGUGUGCCACUGACAUAAGCACACGCUUUGGGAUGAACCUGCGUCCGAUUAGCUAGUUGGUGAGGUAACGGCUUACCAAGGCAGAGAUCGGUAGCUGGUCUGAGAGGAUGAUCAGCCACACUGGGACUGAGACACGGCCCAGACUCCUACGGGAGGCAGCAGUGGGGAAUAUUGGACAAUGGGGGCAACCCUGAUCCAGCAAUGCCGCGUGUGUGAAGAAGGCCUGAGGGUUGUAAAGCACUUUCGUUGGGGAGGAGAGGUUCAUCUGGAUAAGAGAAGAACUGAGACGUUACCCAAAGAAGAAGCACCGGCUAACUCUGUGCCAGCAGCCGCGGUAAUACAGAGGGUGCAAGCGUUAAUCGGAAUUACUGGGCGUAAAGAGCACGUAGGUGGUGGUUCAAGUUGGAUGUGAAAGCCCCGGGCUUAACCUGGGAAGGUCAUCCAAGACUGAGCGACUAGAGUAUAGUAGAGGGAAGUGGAAUUUCCGGUGU
This 579-nucleotide ribosomal RNA is filed under the name uncultured bacterium. RNAcentral describes it as "bacterial SSU rRNA". It matches the Rfam family "Bacterial small subunit ribosomal RNA", at positions 102 to 676 of the family's 1533-position model. The record is from RNAcentral.